This 67-nucleotide transfer RNA is filed under the name Sphagneticola trilobata. RNAcentral describes it as "tRNA-Thr". The record is from RNAcentral. Lineage: Eukaryota; Viridiplantae; Streptophyta; Magnoliopsida; Asterales; Asteraceae.
UUUUAACUCAGUGGUAGAGUAAUCCCAUGUAACGCGUAAGCCCUCGGUUCAAACCCGACAAGGGGCU